ACGCAGAUGCCCGAGUGGUUAAGGGGGCGCGUUUGUACGUACCUCUGCUUUUAUCUCUCCAUCCGUCUAGCGCUAACUCUGUUUAACAGAAGUUUACCAACUUCCCGCGCUGUCGUAAGACGUCAAGAGUUCGAACCUCUUUCUGCGUA
Molecule: non-coding RNA, 149 nt
Organism: Emericellopsis atlantica
Lineage: Eukaryota; Fungi; Ascomycota; Sordariomycetes; Hypocreales; Bionectriaceae
Source: the annotation of a RefSeq genome assembly